Non-coding RNA from Pelobates cultripes (western spadefoot toad), 249 nucleotides. Lineage: Eukaryota; Metazoa; Chordata; Amphibia; Anura; Pelobatidae. The record is from the annotation of a GenBank genome assembly.
GUUGGCAAUAGUCCAAAACUUAUCAAAGUUCGUGAUGGAAGAUCCCACGUGAGACAAAGGAAAAUUCUUAGGAUGUAGGGUGAGGUCAAAUCUUCAUUCAAUGGAGCAUAUGUGGAGAGAAAAAAGUACAGGACUCCAAUGGUACAGUAGGUAGGUACGUUGAGAAUAAAAUAGUAAAAUAAAUCUUACUCACACUUUUCAGAGCUGAGGAUCCAGCUCUGAUGUAAUGCACGUAAAGUGGAAUGAUCC